RNAcentral lists this long non-coding RNA (377 nucleotides) under Ictidomys tridecemlineatus (thirteen-lined ground squirrel). Its description in RNAcentral is "lncRNA (ENSSTOG00000033112.1)". The record is from RNAcentral. Lineage: Eukaryota; Metazoa; Chordata; Mammalia; Rodentia; Sciuridae.
CCCAACUGGUGUCCAUCCAAACACUCCACCCAGGGUUGUUUAUGUUGCAGAAGGAAGAAUGACCUCCCCAGAACCAGUUUUUGAGGAAAAGAAGGACUAUUGAUAUAGCCAGAGUCCCAGAAGAAGAUCACUCUGCAACAGCUACAGCUGAGUCUCCUGCCAUACAUGGGGACCCCCUUAAAUCUAGGAAGAGCUGGCUGGUAUUGACACUCAGAGAGGGAGCCGGGGCCUAUAGCCCUGGCACACGGCAGAGAAGAGCAACCAAGCACGGAUGCCGCCCAGGGAUUGUGACAAGAAUGGUGUCACCUUUCCACAUCUCUAAACACCACUGGACUUCCUGGGUCAGGUGGGCACCACAAGUAGGAAGGCAGUGGACA